Clupea harengus (Atlantic herring) is the source of this 494-nucleotide long non-coding RNA. The record is from Ensembl. Lineage: Eukaryota; Metazoa; Chordata; Actinopteri; Clupeiformes; Clupeidae.
AGUGAUGUAUGAAGUUGGACCAUAGGAUAUCAGAACGUACCCACUCACACAGGCAUGUAUGAAGUUGGAGCAUAGGAUAUCAGAACGUACCCACUCACACAGGCAGCGCCAACAGGUAACUUGGCCUCCAACAUGGCUUCCUCAGAGACCCUGAGUGCACUAAGCAUCUGAUGCUCAUAUUAUCUACCCCAAGUUCCACAGGGGGGCAGAUGCCCGUGGUAGUGGCUCUAGACGGGACCAGUCACACAGAGGGGUUCAAGAGGUCACGCAGAGGGGUUCAAGAGGUCACACAGAGGGGUUCAAGAGGUCACACAGAGGGGUUCUAGAGGUCACACAGAGGGGUUCUAGAGGUCACACAGAGGGGUUCUAGAGGUCACGCAGAGGGGUUCUAGAGGUCACGCAGAGGGGUUCUAGAGGUCACACAGAGGGGUUCCAAGUCCUCGAGAAAAUUGGUCUCGCAAGAGGUGGAUACUCUGUGCACAGUGAAAAUGUGU